RNAcentral lists this ribosomal RNA (468 nucleotides) under uncultured bacterium. Its description in RNAcentral is "partial 16S ribosomal RNA". It matches the Rfam family "Bacterial small subunit ribosomal RNA", at positions 28 to 507 of the family's 1533-position model. The record is from RNAcentral.
GACGAACGCUGGCGGCGUGCUUAACACAUGCAAGUCGAACGGAAAGGCCCGGCUUUUGUGGGGUGCUCGAGUGGCGAACGGGUGAGUAACACGUGAGUAACCUGCCCUUGACUUUGGGAUAACUUCAGGAAACUGGGGCUAAUACCGGAUAGGAGCUCCUGCUGCAUGGUGGGGGUUGGAAAGUUUCGGCGGUUGGGGAUGGACUCGAGGCUUAUCAGCUUGUUGGUGGGGUAGUGGUUUACCAAGGCUUUGACGGGUAGCCGGCCUGAGAGGGUGACCGGCCACAUUGGGCCUGAGAUACGACACAGACUCGUACGGUACGCAGCAGUGGAGAAUAUUGCACAAUGGGCUGAAGCCUGAUGCAGCAACGCCGCGUGCGGGAAGACGUCCUUCGGGUUGUAAACCGCUGUCGCCUGUGCCGAAGCGUGAGUGACGGUACCGGGUAAAGAAGCCCCGGCUAACUACGUG